GCAUCUUAGCCGGACGUUCGGUUCAUCCCACAUCACCAGUUCUGCUUACCAAAAGUGGCCCACUUGGCACCAUGCAGUCGUCGCAUCGCAAUGGCCGCCUCCGAUCAGGAGAGGAGCGGCCCGUUUCGACUGUUCCCAGUUCGAGAA
Molecule: long non-coding RNA, 147 nt
Organism: Octopus sinensis (East Asian common octopus)
Lineage: Eukaryota; Metazoa; Mollusca; Cephalopoda; Octopoda; Octopodidae
Exons: 3
Source: RefSeq, a predicted model, not a curated record